RNAcentral lists this long non-coding RNA (316 nucleotides) under Vigna radiata. RNAcentral describes it as "long non-coding RNA (VRAD_LNC014244)". Lineage: Eukaryota; Viridiplantae; Streptophyta; Magnoliopsida; Fabales; Fabaceae. The record is from RNAcentral.
GAGAAUCAUAGACACAAGCAAAAUGAGAAUUACUCACAUAGCCAAAAUAGGUAGACAUGCGAAAGAAGGGGGGAAAGAAGGAUGUAAUGAAAAUAUGCAACUAAAGCUACCUAAAUGCAACAACACAUAACAUCACACACAAAACAGAACGACACACUCACAACACAAGACAAAACACAACACACACUAACACAACAAAAGACCUAAAACCGAACCAUUGGUCCCCAGCAACGGCGCCAAAAUUUGAUGGGAUGUCGAAACCCACACAAAUUUGAUGUGUAUAAAAGAAUGCAGUAUAGUGCUAGGAAGUGACUCC